UUGGGCAAGUGCGGAGGUGGGCUAGCGGCGUGGUGGCUUUUGUGGUUGGGAUGGGCCGGCUAUGAGGUUUCGGCCCAAGGCCGGUUAGGGUAGUUAGAGUAGUUAGUUUUAAUUAAAAUUUGAAUCCACUCAAAUCAAAAUCGAAAUACAAUCCAAAUGGCACACUAUCAUUUAAUCAUUCUAUAUUUUCAAAUUUAAUUCAAAUUAUUCUAGAAAUUCAGGUGAGAUCAAUGAAGACACUCU
Molecule: long non-coding RNA, 243 nt
Filed under: Setaria viridis
Lineage: Eukaryota; Viridiplantae; Streptophyta; Magnoliopsida; Poales; Poaceae
Description: long non-coding RNA (SVIR_LNC010768)
Source: RNAcentral